AGGCUCCAUGUAGUCCAUACGGGAGGCAUGCAAGUGGGGAACUAAUUCGUGACAAUGGGGGCAACCCGUUGAUCCAAGCAAUGCCUGCGUGUGUGAAUGAAGGCCUUCGGGUUUGUUAAGCACUUUUAUCCGGAACGAAACGCGCAGGGUGUAAUAUCCUUGUGAACUGACGGUACCAGUGAGGAAUAAGCAUCCGGCUAACUUCGUGCCAGG
RNAcentral lists this ribosomal RNA (213 nucleotides) under uncultured fungus. RNAcentral's name for it is "partial 18S small subunit ribosomal RNA". The record is from RNAcentral. Lineage: Eukaryota; Fungi.